This 788-nucleotide long non-coding RNA is filed under the name Homo sapiens (human). Its description in RNAcentral is "HSALNT0347254". The record is from RNAcentral. Lineage: Eukaryota; Metazoa; Chordata; Mammalia; Primates; Hominidae.
UCUGCCUAUAGAGGCCUGGGGUCCCUUUGGCAGCACUUUUCUCAAGAAAGUAGAGUCGUGGACAACCAACUGCACAGGUUGGGAGGCUUUGAAGAACAAGCUGCCAUGAAUCCUGCAGCUACAAGGAAAUGAACUCUAUUAACUUGAGUGAGCUUAAAACUAGAUCCUUCCCCAGUCAAGCCUCCAGGUGAGAAUUCAAUCCUGGCUGGCACCUGGAUUGCAGCUUACAGAAGACCCAGCUAAGGCCAUGUCUGGACUUUAAAUCCACAGGAACUGCAAGAUGGUAUCAGAAGUGGGACCUGCAGUGGGGCAUCUAGCAACCCCCAGGAGCAUUGAGUGACCAGGCUUGGGACCCACCGGGCGCAGGGUGUCCAUUGUUCUCUCGAAGCAACUGAGAAUUGUGGAUAUUCUUCAUUAUUCCAUCAUCAUCUCAAACCUCUUGGGUAUAGUGUUUGACUACUACUGUGACCAUAAAUUCCAAUAAAACCUAGGAAAAAUGAAACCACUACAUUAACUGAAAGGGAUAAGACAUGAUGGACAGAAAUUUCCAUGCAAUUAUUCCAUUCUGGUGAGAUUAGAAGGUGCUAAGCAGAUAAAGAAAUCAUCUUAUCAAGAAGGAAAAGUACCAUUUACUGAAGAAGGUCUGCUAAACUUUAAUCAUGACUGAAAAUAUAAAAAGACACUUUAAAUGGAUAAAUGCAGCUAUUGCACACAAUUGACAUGGCUGUAGAGAUGACAGAGUGAAGAGGUAUUUGAUCAGUCAUUUGUUAUAAAAGCUCAGGGAAAAC